CUAGUCAGAUUUUCCCAGAUUGCUAUUUACUGCCAAUAGGCGGUGAAUAAACAGAAUUUGCUUGGCGACCAUAGCAUUAUGGACCCACCUGAUCCCAUGCCGAACUCAGUAGUGAAACGUAAUAGCGCCGAUGGUAGUGUGGGGUCUCCCCAUGUGAGAGUAGGACAUCGCCAGGC
RNAcentral lists this ribosomal RNA (176 nucleotides) under Photobacterium lutimaris. The record is from RNAcentral. Lineage: Bacteria; Pseudomonadati; Pseudomonadota; Gammaproteobacteria; Vibrionales; Vibrionaceae.